CUUCUGGAAUCUACUCUAAAGAGCAAUUGACCAACAACUGCUGCCAAGUUUCCGAGUGCACUCACAUGAUUCUGGAAGUGGCAGUUUCAAGCAGCUGUGAUGAGGUGGUGAGCAGUGAGUUGCUCCUCACUCAUGCAGUGGGCCCUGGAAUGAAGAGGAGGAAAGCAGACCUGAACAAGGUGUUGAGCUCCCACUUCAGGACUCCUCAUCCUUCCAGCCUUGAGUUGAGAUGGAAUCAGACUGGUUGGAAUUACCUACACUAGGGGACUCGAAUUAGGCCUUCUAGUUGGUCAUUUCUCUUCUCCAUUGAAAGGGUCAAAGUGGGCCAAUAAGAUGGGUAGAGAUUUGCUCAUAACAUAUCUGCAGGUGCUCGGAAGUUGAUAGUGCUUCAAGUCUCUGACCUCCUGGAGGUCACUCUAGAACACUCUAGGGAAACUUCUCUGAAGGCCAGUCCAAGAAGAACCCUGGUGGUACCAAGGAAUGUUUUAAUGACAGCGAAAAUUCAUGCACCCUGAAAUAUUAGAGGAAGAACUCAGAUCAUCUGACCCAAUCUACUCAUUUUACAGAUGGG
This 571-nucleotide long non-coding RNA is filed under the name Homo sapiens (human). RNAcentral describes it as "HSALNT0119940". The record is from RNAcentral. Lineage: Eukaryota; Metazoa; Chordata; Mammalia; Primates; Hominidae.